GAUGAACGCUGGCGGCGCGCCUAACACAUGCAAGUCGAACGAUUAAAGCACCUUCGGGUGUGUAUAAAGUGGCGAACGGCUGAGUAACACGUGGGCAACCUGCCCCUCUCAUUGGGAUAGCCACGGGAAACCGUGGAUAAUACCGAAUACUUCGGGACUUCCGCAUGGAAGACUCGAGAAGGCUCCGGCGGAGAGGGAUGGGCCCGCGGCCUGUUAGCUUGUUGGUGGGGUAAUGGCCUACCAAGGCAAUGAUGGGUAGCUGGGUUGAGAGACCGACCAGCCAGAUUGGGACUGAGACACGGCCCAGACUCCUACGGGAGGCAGCAGUGGGGAAUCUUGCACAAUGGGCGAAAGCCUGAUGCAGCGACGCCGCGUGCGGGAUGAAGGCCUUCGGGUUGUAAACCGCUUUCAGCAGGGACGAGGCGAAAGUGACGGUACCUGCAGAAGAAGCCCCGGCUAACUACGUG
Molecule: ribosomal RNA, 467 nt
Filed under: uncultured bacterium
Lineage: Bacteria
Description: partial 16S ribosomal RNA
Rfam family: Bacterial small subunit ribosomal RNA
Source: RNAcentral